UCCUGAUUUUGUGAACCAAUCAUAAGACACUGCAAGGAAUCUGUAAACAACAGCGUACAAUCAACUGCUUUGUGUCACUUCUCAAUUCUGAGGGCGCUGGACGAUUCCAUUCUCGGUCAAGUACUCCACGAAUUCAUCAAUCAGAUAGGGCCAAGCACCUUCUUCAUCGUAGUUGGACAGUUGAAGAUCAACAGUCUGAACAAAGGUCAUAAACAAAAAUGAUUUUGUGCUACACCAAAAGCCUAUAGAUACAUCCUAAUUUCAUCAUCAGCAUGCAUAUUUUUUACCCAUACUAAUAUCAUUGAACAAAAUUAGUUGAUUUAUUUUUUCCAUGAGGGCUACAUUCUCUGCAUGUUCUUCCUGCCUAGUGCAAGGAUGCAGCUGGGGACAUUAUUGUUGCUCUGCAGUAUCCUUUCCAAUUGCGCAUGGCAGGAAACAGAUACAAGACAAUUUGCUCUUUCACUGAUAAGAAAGGGGGAAAGAUCAAUAUGGUGUUCUAAUAAAGAACUUCAAAUCGGAAGACUUGCCAUUUUCUGAAGUUAUAGGAGCACCUUGUCAACAGCUAGUUCUAUUGGCUAAAAAAAAGGUAACAAUCAAGGUUGGUGGACUUCAACACAUGUGACAAACAAAUUUAUUUGAAGACAAACUACAAGAAGAAAAAAACAAAACAAAAAAAAGCAUCAAUGCUAUUCCUAACAUUACUUUGUAACACGUCUCACUACCUGGGACAGAGCCCUUCCCAAGUAAUAAAAUAGUUACAAACUGGGGAACCUUAGACUUUUCUUUUGAAACACUCCCUUACUUUUUCUCAUUACUUAUUGGUCUCUCUCUCUCUCUCUCUCUCUCUCUCUCUCUCUCUGUGUGUGCAAAGAACCAUGUCAUGGGACUCAGAAUCAAUCUCGAAUCAUUUGGAAUAAUAUCUUUGCUGGUAAAACUGCACAUAUUAAUGCUCUCUAGACCCCACAUUGAUUGGCAUAGUAUUUUUAAUAGGUGUCAGAGCGCUCGCCUAGGAGCGAGGUGAGGUAAGGCUUGAGUGCCUCACACAACCUCUAGGCGAGGCACUUCGAUGAAGCACCACUUGGGUGCCUUGGGCAAGCGCUCAAGUUAAGAGGCAAGUUGGUACUAGGUGGGGUUAAUGCUUGGUUCAAUUGAACAAGCAAGUUGGUUCAAUCAAACCAACUAAAGUGCCCUAACCCCCCCACCCCAAUUGUCCGAUGCAGCUUCGAAACCCUACAUUCGCUACCGCAACUCCCUCCAUUGCCAUCGCCUUCGUUCGAAGCUUCCUUCGCCAUCGUCACCUUCAUUCGCAACUUCCUCCGUCGUUGCCGACUUCAUCUGCAACUUCACCGCCUUCGUUCAUAUCUUCCUCCGCUGCCGCUGCCUUCGUCUACUGCUUCCUCCGUCGCCACCACCUUCAUCCUUUGCUUCCUCGACUGCCCUCUCCCCCAACUUCCUGCAUAGCUGUUGAAUACUCCUCCUUCCUCCAUAUAUAUAUAUAUUUAUUUAUUUAUUUAUUUAUUUUGUAAUGCCUCACUUUGCUUGGGCAAGUGCCUAGUGCCUCAGGCGUUAUGAGAUCUUGGUGCCUUGCACUUUUAAAAUCACCAGGUUGGCACCUAUUACAUUAAGCCAUCCUUUUUAAAUCAACUUUGCUAAUUACAAUGUCACUAGAGAUUUCGAAUCCAUUAAAGAAAUAUGUUGAAAUCCUUGUCAUGGUUGAAUUUGUAAUAUCAUGUUAAAAAUCUAGUAUUGAACCCCCACAAUAGGUUAUGCCACCCAAGAUACGAUAUUGAUUUGAGGGGUCACAUCCAUGAAUUCUAGUAGUAUCAUUCAAAAAUAAUUUCUCAUAAAUGAGCAACACAAUAAAGAAUAACGUAAACAAAAUGACAAAGCUUAACAAAAGAAUUUUUGCAUUAAGAUUAUUGGCUAAAGAUGAGAUGUAAAUAGCAUUAGGUUAGAAAAUGGAAUUCACAAAUCAAGGGUCACUUUAAGGAGAUGAAACUACUAUGAAAACAAUGGACAUCAAAUUCCUUGUUUUCCUCUGGCACCCUGAGAAUAUAUUGCAUAACCAUUGCAUUAGGUUUUGCCAAAGAGUGCUAGCUAGGCAUGUGAAAUAGUUUCUAAAGAUAGUUCAUAGGUUCACCAAAAUGGUGCAUUUGAAAGAUUCUUUAUGUACGUAAUGUAGCAGAUUUGUUUCCCUAGCAUGCCUAGGCCACUUAAGUAGGGACAUAAGUUUUUGAGUCAUUCUUGGAGAAUCUAAGGGUACUAAAUGGUGAAAACUAGGAUUCAAUAGAGAAACAGGCCACUGUGCAUGUUGCUAUUUCUUAUCUAUUGGCAUGGUCAUCCCAAUUUUAGAAUGCAAGUUGAUCAGUGAGAACAACAUAGAGGAAAAUCAGCACAGAUCAACACAUAUCAUGCCAGAUAAUUAUUAGAACAUGACAUCCUAAUUGUACUGCAGGUACUAGCACAUGGCCGGACCAAUUUUUAUUAUGUGUUGAAUGAUACAUGAGCAUGCCAACUGACAAAAGCAUGUAAUUGUACUAUACCAAGAAGGUACUAGCACACCUUGCGCCAACAAAUGUCAAUCCUCGAGUAUGCCUUUGCUCUAAGGCUUUUUCUUGUAGAGAUGUAUGAAAACCAUCUUAAAGAGGGUGGGUUUGCCAAACACAACAGAAUUGAAAUGGAUAUUUAGUUGAGUUUGCUCCAAGACUGUCCGCAUGAGAUUUAACUUAAUUGUAUUCUAAGAUUUAAUCUUAGCUAGCUGAAUGUUAGAUAAGAUAUCUGAUGCGUGUUCUAGCUUCUUGCUAUUUUUGUCUCAAUUUGCAUGUUAUAAAAUUUCUUCUUGUGUGCUGUCCAUUUCAAAAUGAUCACAUCACUUACCUGGUCAGAAAAUAAAAAUUCCAGGAUUUUCUAUCCGAAAAGACUGAUGGGCAUCCAACUCAUGAAUCCUGAGGACUUCAUAACUUGCAAACUAAUACAUACUUGGCAAAGGAUGAAAAUGCACAAUGAAAAUCCCAGGAACUUCUAUCCAAAAAGACUGAUGGGCAUCCAACUCAUGAAUCCUGAGGAAUUGAUAACUUGCAGACUAAUAUAGACUUGGAAAAGGAUGAAAAUGCACAAUUCAACUUAACAUUAGAAUCUAAGAUACAAUGAGGAACAAACAUCAAAUACAAUCCUUAAUAAGACAAAAAGCAAUCCUAAAACAAUUUAGGGCAGCCACCUAUGUUGAACUAUCACAUAUUGUAUUAAUUGACAAUUAGAUACUGUUAUAUAAUUGUAACAAAACCAUUUAAUACUUAAAUACAUACCUUAGCAAAUUCCAAUAGCUGAGACCAGGUGUCUCUCGAUAUUGCUUUGUUAUGCCUCACCUGAUAAUGACAAAAUGGAUUAGACAUCACCUGUUGCACAGAAUAUUAGAGGCACAAGCCACGAACUAGACCUAAGUAAUCAACUUCAUUAAGGUGCUGCAAAAGCAUGAAAAAGCAAACAACAAACUAAAUCCAUGUAUCCCUCGGAGGGAAUGAAACAUCUAUCAUGCCAUAAUUGCAUAAGUGUUCUCUAAUGUUAAGAAAAUUCAUCCAAGAAUGAAAUGAAACCUGGUGAAAUGGUAGCUGAAAAAACCUACCUGUAAGAACUGGCACCAAUGGUCAACUAAAGGCCAGUGCCUUUCUGCAAACAACAACUGCCACAUGCCAAUAGCUGUAUCAAGUGCUAGAGAUUUUUGACCCUGCGAUGAUUGGAAAGAAAGCCACUUUCAAUAUUAUCUUUAAAAAUCUCAAAAAUAAAUAAAUUAUACCUUUGAGCAUGAGGUAGGGAAGUAACUCAUGUUUGUAUUAUUUAAUAACAGGCGUUCCACAUGAAGUAUGAACAGGAGGAAAGAAUAAAAUGAACUGCAAAUCCAAGCAUAAACAUAGUGUACUCAUGUGUUGUUGCUUGGGAAUGGGCAACAACUUGGAUACAACAACCAAAAUUCAAGGUCAAUGUGAGCCUAAAGGUCUUGCAGCUAUGAUCAACCUCAACAUUGCAAAGGAUAAUGCAUGAGACAUUGACCCAAGAGAUACAGAGUUUUGAAAGCUCAAAGACAUCACAGUACCUGCCACCAUCCAAAAAACACCACUUUGCUGGGCACACAUCACCAAGCUUAAUGGCUAUGAUAUCAUCGUAUCAUAACCUGAGUCGGAGCCUGAGUUGGAAGCACAUGAGCUUGUCACCAACACCUAUGUGAUGUCAUUUGGAGAUAGAUAAUGCCCAAGCUAUAUCUCAUAGUUGAUGCAUAAACAGCGGUCACAAAAUCCCACCAUGAUAUCCAUGAAGUAUCAGUAGGCAGGAAAUAGAAUUUGAAGGCCCGUGAAUUCACCAAGAAAUCUACAUCCAUCCCAAACCAUAACCAGUGAUUUAAAAAGCGCUAGGCGCCAAAAGGCGGCAAGAUCCAAAAACACCCGAGGCGCUAGGCGCUCGCCUAAGCGCUCGCCCGAGCGAAGCGAGGCGCUAAAAUAUAAAAAUAUAUAAUAUAAUUAAUAUAAUUAUUUAAAUAAAAAAUAUGCUAUUAAAUUAAGAAAAUCGAGUACAAAAUCACAAUAUCAUAUUAAUAAAAAGUCUCAAAAAUUAAAACAAUAAAAUUUUACAUCAAAUCUAUUGAGUUACUCUGUACGCUUGCCAUUUAUUCUGAAACCUAACAAUAAUUUUAAAUAAAUAAAAAUUAAUAGUAUUAAAAUCAAAAUAAUAUAUUAUUAAUAUAAUAAAUAAAAAAUACUAUUAUUAGUAUACAGUUAACAGUAUACUGUUAAUAUACUGUUAACAGUAUAGUGAGAAGAGUGUGAGAAGACUGGGAGCGGGAGCGGGAGCGACGAGCGAUAGCGGGAGUGGGAGCGGGAGCUGCGAGCGGCAGUGGGAGUGGGAGCGGGAGCUGCGAGCGACGAGCGACGACAACAGCGAUGAGUGACAAUUGUGGCAGCGGCGAGUAGCGACAAUGGCAGCAACAGCGGCAGCAGAGAGCAGCGACAACGGAGAAGAAAUCUCGACGGCAAAAUCGCAAGUGUUAAGGUUGGGGAAGUCGGGGAAAUCGUGAGAGGGAGCCUAUCGGUGAUUUAGUUGGUUCGAUUGAACCAACUAAAGCACCGGAGACCGAACCAGACGUAAAACACUGGUUCGGUCGCCUGGUUUAACCCGGGCACUCGCCCGAAGCGCCCGACGCCUAGGCUCGGGCGAGCGCCUAGGCGGCGCCUCGUUGAAGCGAGGCGCUUGGACAUGAAGCGAGGCGCUCGGGCCUCGCCUCGCCCGAGCGCCUAGGCGAGCGCCCGAGCGCCUAUUGAAAUCACUGACCAUAACCUAGUCAAACCAAAGUGUGUAAAAGGAUUGCAUAGAUUAUGAUCUUAAUGCCAUAUUGGCUAAUGGAUUUGUACCAUUUUAUAUGGACAACCAUGUGGACUUUGACACUGAAAGUACUCAAGUGUUACUAUUUGGGACAGCAAUGAGUUUAAAACUAUAUCAGUGCAUGCUUCAAGAUAUUGUAGAUGUAGGUCUCACACAGAUACCCAUGUCAAUAGAAAUGAAGUACAUGUUGCACAUAUCAUACCAAAAAAAUGGUAGAAUAAUGCCCACAUCAUGUUGACAUGAUACAAUAGUUACUGCCCAACAUCCCUAAUCUGUGAAUGUCAUAAAAAGGCAUGUCAAAAUUAUUGCUCCAUAAAAUAACUUCAGUAGCCUCAACACUCAACCAGUUUACAUUGGAAUUUGGCAUUGGACUUCUUUGAUCCCAGAAAAGGAAAAGGGAGGAGUCUCUUGAUUCAAAUUAAGGGACCCAAGAAGAGAAGGGAGCGGGUGAUCCACUGAAGGAUCAGUAUGGCAUGUCUGAUCUUAUCAACCCUAGCUAUGAUCCAAAGGAGAGUUAUCUAGCAAAGCUGGCAGAUUAUCUAUCAGGUGCAACAAGGUAAACCAUGGUGGAAUGCAAUCUCAAGACAGAUUGCUUGAUUUCUUCACAUGAAAGGAACAUAAGAAAAAAGAAGAGGGAAGAGAAAAAAAAAAGAAUAUGACUAGAAUGAACAAAAAUAGAAAGAGAAAACAAAAGAAAGAUAAUGAAAUAAAUAAUUUAGAAUUAUUCUAUAAAAUUAUCAAUUAUGUAAGAUAAACAAACAUAUAUAUAAGUUGUAAAAUUACAUAAAAAUGGUAGUACUUUAGGUGUUUAACCAAGAAAAUUGAAAACUGAACUUUCCAAAAUAGAUACACAAACUUCAAAUGAAAAAAAACAAAAGUCUGAUAAUUAUAGGUAAAACCAGAGAUGAGCAGUGAAACUUAAUAUUAAAUACACUGAAUAUUAAUUAAUGGUGAAUUUGAUGGGAUGUUAAAUAAAUCAAAUUCAGUAACAAAGUGUACUAAAUUUGAUGGGAUGUGAAAUAAUUAGUAUGUGGUACGAGGUGAGGUAGAGUUAGUGGCGUGAGGUGAGAUAGAAGAAGACCUUAAAAUAUUUUAAUUGAGACUAAAAAUAAAAAUUUUAAUAUUCUUAAUUUAACUAACCCGAAGAUGUUUUACGUGCCUCCAUGGUAGCAAAAAAUAUCGAUAUGGUCGGCCCCAAAUACUUGAGACUUGUAGCUUUAUUAUUAUAGUUAUUUUUCAGCAUUUUUAAAUUCGAUUGCCAUAUGACUAAAUUCAUCUUUCCUUUAGAUGUCACAAAAUUCCCUUUCAAACUUGUGGACACAUGAAAACAACCAAGUCGACCAGACUCAAGGACGUUGAAGAAACUAUCUUUGAGAAAAUAAUGAAUCUUAAAAUGCCUUUCUCAAUACUGACAGUGAUUACAGCAUCUAUCAAUAUUUUUAAUUUUGAGUACCAGACCUAUACUGGUCCUAACCUAGACUGGUAUGGGUCCGAGCCGUACCAGCACAUUGCGUCGGUAAGUCAGAAUGUACUGAAUUUUGAAAAAACCUAAAAAAAGGUUGAACGAUAGAAAAGUUACCAGUACAGGACUUGUACCACAUGGUACAGGCCUUAUACCAGACGUACCAGGUGGCUCAAGCCCUAUAUCGGAAGCCUAGUACACGUGCCCAUAGUGUUGAACUGAUAAGCACCACCAGUACCAAACUAUAAGGAUGGUAUUACAAAGUACAAACCUUGGCAUACAUCCAAUCCACAGAGAGAAAGAGAGAGAGAGAGUACUAAAAGGGUCACCUAGUUCGCAGAGCUCCCGCCAAUGAAGCUCUAAGAAUGGUGAAUAAACGCAACCUUACCACAACAAGCAAAAUGUUAUGACCCUUUUUUAUCAAACACCAUGGAUGACUUUAUUUGUCGUAUAGCACAUAAUUUGUAAGAUUUUUUGGACACUCCCAUUAGAGCAUAACAUGAAAAUGAUUAUACAUACUUGUGCUUCCAUAAUAUUAUGAAAUAUCAAGUAAUUAAUGAAUUAACAUUUUGUAAAACAUAGCAUUUUGACUGCCUACUUAAAUAAAAUGAAAGAGAUGCUCACUAAACAAAAAUUGGUUGGGUACCUUUUCUUUAGCCCAGCCAAAAGCGAAAUUGUAUAUUUCACGAAAUUUUUCUGGAGGCAUGAAACACAAAAUUUAUUAGAAAAGCUUGAAGAAACGAACAUAAGGCAUGUGUUUCAGUUUUGUUUAUAACAGUGUAUAAAACUUCAAAAUAACUUGAAUAAACAUAUGCCAAGUAGCUUCCAAAAUAGAGAAUGGGACAGAUAACACUCACGUUCAUCUUUUAGCUCACUUCGCAUAUAUGAUAACUUAUCACGAAACUUCUCAAUUGUAUCUAUCCUGCAUCAAAACAUUUUACUUUCAACACAAACAAAUUGUAUCUUCAUAUGUCAAAACUCCUCCAACCUACUCAGAAG
Molecule: long non-coding RNA, 7831 nt
Filed under: Musa acuminata (dwarf banana)
Lineage: Eukaryota; Viridiplantae; Streptophyta; Magnoliopsida; Zingiberales; Musaceae
Description: long non-coding RNA (MACU_LNC003496)
Source: RNAcentral